GACGAACGCUGGCGGCGUGCCUAAUACAUGCAAGUUGAGCGAUGAAGAUUGGUGCUUGCACCAAUUUGAAGAGCAGCGAACGGGUGAGUAACGCGUGGGGAAUCUGCCUUUGAGCGGGGGACAACAUUUGGAAACGAAUGCUAAUACCGCAUAACAACUUUAAACAUAAGUUUUAAGUUUGAAAGAUGCAAUUGCAUCACUCAAAGAUGAUCCCGCGUUGUAUUAGCUAGUUGGUGAGGUAAAGGCUCACCAAGGCGAUGAUACAUAGCCGACCUGAGAGGGUGAUCGGCCACAUUGGAACUGAGACACGGCCCAAACUCCUACGGGAGGCAGCAGUAGGAAUCUUCGGCAAUGGACGAAAGUCUGACCGAGCAACGCCGCGUGAGUGAAGAAGGUUUUCGGAUCGUAAAACUCUGUUGGUAGAGAAGAACGUUGGUGAGAGUGGAAAGCUCAUCAAGUGACGGUAACUACCCAGAAAGGGACGGCUAACUACGUG
RNAcentral lists this ribosomal RNA (496 nucleotides) under uncultured bacterium. RNAcentral describes it as "partial 16S ribosomal RNA". It matches the Rfam family "Bacterial small subunit ribosomal RNA", at positions 28 to 507 of the family's 1533-position model. The record is from RNAcentral.